AGUAAAAUGGCUGAGUUUAGGCAAUAAAUUGUAAAUUUAUUUACGAAGUUAGUACUUCUUUUGCUA
This 66-nucleotide transfer RNA is filed under the name Agriotes obscurus (dusky wireworm). Its description in RNAcentral is "tRNA-Tyr". Lineage: Eukaryota; Metazoa; Arthropoda; Insecta; Coleoptera; Elateridae. The record is from RNAcentral.